RNAcentral lists this ribosomal RNA (753 nucleotides) under Triticum aestivum (bread wheat). Its description in RNAcentral is "partial small subunit ribosomal RNA". The record is from RNAcentral. Lineage: Eukaryota; Viridiplantae; Streptophyta; Magnoliopsida; Poales; Poaceae.
AUGGGGCUGUUGUGCCUGUUUGAGCAAUUGACCGGUCUGAAGAUUAACUUCCAUAAAAGUGAGUUGUUCUGUUUUGGUAGAGCCAAAGAGGAACAAGAUGCAUAUAAGCAAUUGUUUGGGUGUGAAUUGGGUGCACUCCCGUUCAAUUACCUAGAUAUCCCCAUUCACCAUCGUAAGCUGACUAACAGUGAAUGGAAGUGUAUCGAGGAUCGGUUUGAGAAGAAACUGAGUUGCUGGAAGGCCAAACUCAUAUCGUAUGGAGGCCGGUUGAUUCUUAUUAAUUCGGUGCUCACGAGUUUUCCUAUGUUCCUUCUGUCCUUUUUUGAAGUACCAGUUGGAGUUAGGAAAAGGCUGGACUUCUAUCGGUCCCGUUUCUUCUGGCAAAGUGAUGAACUUAAGAGAAAGUACCGUUUAGCCAAAUGGGACGUCAUCUGCCGACCGAAGGACCAAGGGGGUUUUGGUAUUGAAAAUCUUGAGGUCAAGAACAAAUGUCUUCUCAGUAAGUGGCUAUAUAAGUUAGCUGCUGAGACUGAAGCUACUUGGGCACAGAUUCUGCAUAACAAGUACCUCCACUCUAAGACUUUGUCGCAGGUGACAGUCAGACCGACUGAUUCACCAUUCUGGAAAGGGCUAAUGAGAGUCAAAGCUACUUUCUUUAAUAGAACAAAGUUUAUUAUUGGUGAUGGCAACAAUACUCGCUUCUGGGAGGAUACUUGGCUGGGGGAUGCGCCGUUGGCGCUUCAGUAUCCUUCG